Molecule: long non-coding RNA, 228 nt
Organism: Etheostoma cragini (Arkansas darter)
Lineage: Eukaryota; Metazoa; Chordata; Actinopteri; Perciformes; Percidae
Exons: 3
Source: RefSeq, a predicted model, not a curated record
GCUCCUUUAGUUUAGUGGUGAUGAUGGCGUAAUGGAUAUAACACAUGCCUUUGGGGUAGGAGACCCAGGUUCAAUUCCCACUGCGAUACAUUAACCAAUGUGUCCCUGAGCAAGACACUUGACCCAUAGUGGCUCCAAAAGUGUGCGGCCUCUGACAAAUAUAGCAAUUGUACGUCGCUUUGGACAAAAAGCGUCAGCUAAAUUACAUGUAAUGUAAUAUAAAUUCAG